CUACGGGAUGCUGCAGUUAGGAAUAAUCUACAAUGCGCGCAAGCGUGAUAGUUUGAGCCAGAGUGUUUUUCAAAUGAAAGACUUUUGCCAAGUGUAAAAAGCCUGGCGAAUAAGGACUGGGUAAGACGAGUGCCAGCCGCCGCGGUAAUACUCGCGGUCCAAGUCGCAGCCAUUUUUAUUGGGUCUAAAACAUCCGUAGCUUGCUUGGUAAGUUUCUUGUGAAAUUUUGUAUCUCAAGUGCAAAGCGCGCAAGAAGUACUGUCAAGCUAGAGACUGGAAGACGUAAAGAGUACGUUCGGAGUAGCGGUAAAAUGUGUUAAUCCUGGACGGACUAACAAGAGCGAAGGCACUUUACGAGGACAGUUCUGACAGUAAGGGAUGAAGGCCAGGGGCGCAAAACGGAUUAGAUACCCGAGUAGUC
This 421-nucleotide ribosomal RNA is filed under the name uncultured archaeon. Its description in RNAcentral is "partial 16S ribosomal RNA". It matches the Rfam family "Archaeal small subunit ribosomal RNA", at positions 323 to 746 of the family's 1478-position model. The record is from RNAcentral.